AAGUGGUAGAAGAAGCUGCACCAGUGGCGGGAGAAAUGGCUCCAGUGGUGGCUGAAGGAACAGUUGCAGUGGCAGGAGAAAUGGCCCCAGCGGCUGAAGGAAUUGGUGCAG
Molecule: long non-coding RNA, 111 nt
Organism: Gordionus sp. m RMFG-2023
Lineage: Eukaryota; Metazoa; Nematomorpha; Gordioida; Chordodea; Parachordodidae
Exons: 5
Source: RefSeq, a predicted model, not a curated record